AGCAGCCGCGGUAAUUCCAGCUCCAAUAGCGUAUAUUAAAGUUGUUGCAGUUAAAAAGCUCGUAGUUGAAUUUCGGGAUUGACCCAUCGGUCGUGCCUUAAGGGGUAUGAACUGGUGUAGUCAAUUUCUCACCUUCUGGAGAACCGCGAUGUCCUUAGUUGGGUGCCGCGAGGAACCAGGACCUUUACUUUGAAAAAAUUAGAGUGUUUAAAGCAGGCAUUUUUGCUUGAAUACAUUAGCAUGGAAUAAUAAAUAGGACGGCAUGAUUCUAUUUUGUUGGUUUCUAGGAUCACCGUAAUGAUUAAUAGGGAUAGUUGGGGGCAUUAGUAUUCAAUUGUCAGAGGUGAAAUUCCUGGAUUUAUUGAAGACUAACUACUGCGAAAGCAUUUGCCAAGGAUGUUUUCAUUAAUCAAGAACGAAAGUUAGGGGAUCGAAGACGAUCAGAUACCGUCGUAGUCUUAACCAUAAACUAUGCCGACUAGGAAUCAGACGGUGUUAAUUUUUAUGUACUUCGUUUGGC
This 520-nucleotide ribosomal RNA is filed under the name uncultured Entrophospora. Its description in RNAcentral is "SSU rRNA". It matches the Rfam family "Eukaryotic small subunit ribosomal RNA", at positions 569 to 1084 of the family's 1831-position model. Lineage: Eukaryota; Fungi; Glomeromycota; Glomeromycetes; Entrophosporales; Entrophosporaceae. The record is from RNAcentral.